Molecule: transfer RNA, 95 nt
Filed under: Chryseobacterium culicis
Lineage: Bacteria; Pseudomonadati; Bacteroidota; Flavobacteriia; Flavobacteriales; Weeksellaceae
Description: tRNA-OTHER
Rfam family: tRNA
About the family: Transfer RNA (tRNA) molecules are approximately 80 nucleotides in length.
Source: RNAcentral
GCUUUAGUAGCUUAAUUGGUAAAGCACUUCCUCGAUAUUUUACCGUAAUAUGAAAUAUCAAGAAGGGUAUCUUAGUUCGAAUCCAAGCUAAAGCA